Molecule: transfer RNA, 73 nt
Filed under: Actinoplanes lutulentus
Lineage: Bacteria; Bacillati; Actinomycetota; Actinomycetes; Micromonosporales; Micromonosporaceae
Description: tRNA-Arg
Rfam family: tRNA
About the family: Transfer RNA (tRNA) molecules are approximately 80 nucleotides in length. Their secondary structure includes four short double-helical elements and three loops (D, anti-codon, and T loops).
Source: RNAcentral
UGGCCGGUAGCGCAGAGGUCGACGCGCCGAACGUCUCAUUCGGAGGACGCCGGUUCGAAUCCGGCCCGGUCAC